UUAAGCGACUAAGCGUACACGGUGGAUGCCCUGGCAGUCAGAGGCGAUGAAGGACGUGCUAAUCUGCGAUAAGCGUCGGUAAGGUGAUAUGAACCGUUAUAACCGGCGAUUUCCGAAUGGGGAAACCCAGUGUGUUUCGACACACUAUCAUUAACUGAAUCCAUAGGUUAAUGAGGCGAACCGGGGGAACUGAAACAUCUAAGUACCCCGAGGAAAAGAAAUCAACCGAGAUUCCCCCAGUAGCGGCGAGCGAACGGGGAGGAGCCCAGAGCCUGAAUCAGUGUGUGUGUUAGUGGAAGCGUCUGGAAAGGCGCGCGAUACAGGGUGACAGCCCCGUACACAAAAAUGCACAUAUUGUGAGCUCGAUGAGUAGGGCGGGACACGUGGUAUCCUGUCUGAAUAUGGGGGGACCAUCCUCCAAGGCUAAAUACUCCUGACUGACCGAUAGUGAACCAGUACCGUGAGGGAAAGGCGAAAAGAACCCCGGCGAGGGGAGUGAAAAAGAACCUGAAACCGUGUACGUACAAGCAGUGGGAGCACGCUUAGGCGUGUGACUGCGUACCUUUUGUAUAAUGGGUCAGCGACUUAUAUUCUGUAGCAAGGUUAACCGAAUAGGGGAGCCGAAGGGAAACCGAGUCUUAACUGGGCGUUAAGUUGCAGGGUAUAGACCCGAAACCCGGUGAUCUAGCCAUGGGCAGGUUGAAGGUUGGGUAACACUAACUGGAGGACCGAACCGACUAAUGUUGAAAAAUUAGCGGAUGACUUGUGGCUGGGGGUGAAAGGCCAAUCAAACCGGGAGAUAGCUGGUUCUCCCCGAAAGCUAUUUAGGUAGCGCCUCGUGAAUUCAUCUCCGGGGGUAGAGCACUGUUUCGGCGAAGGGGGUCAUCCCGACUUACCAACCCGAUGCAAACUGCGAAUACCGGAGAAUGUUAUCACGGGAGACACACGGCGGGUGCUAACGUCCGUCGUGAAGAGGGAAACAACCCAGACCGCCAGCUAAGGUCCCAAAGUCAUGGUUAAGUGGGAAACGAUGUGGGAAGGCCCAGACAGCCAGGAUGUUGGCUUAGAAGCAGCCAUCAUUUAAAGAAAGCGUAAUAGCUCACUGGUCGAGUCGGCCUGCGCGGAAGAUGUAACGGGGCUAAACCAUGCACCGAAGCUGCGGCAGCGACGCUUAUGCGUUGUUGGGUAGGGGAGCGUUCUGUAAGCCUGUGAAGGUGUGCUGUGAGGCAUGCUGGAGGUAUCAGAAGUGCGAAUGCUGACAUAAGUAACGAUAAAGCGGGUGAAAAGCCCGCUCGCCGGAAGACCAAGGGUUCCUGUCCAACGUUAAUCGGGGCAGGGUGAGUCGACCCCUAAGGCGAGGCCGAAAGGCGUAGUCGAUGGGAAACAGGUUAAUAUUCCUGUACUUGGUGUUACUGCGAAGGGGGGACGGAGAAGGCUAUGUUGGCCGGGCGACGGUUGUCCCGGUUUAAGCGUGUAGGCUGGUUUUCCAGGCAAAUCCGGAAAAUCAAGGCUGAGGCGUGAUGACGAGGCACUACGGUGCUGAAGCAACAAAUGCCCUGCUUCCAGGAAAAGCCUCUAAGCAUCAGGUAACAUCAAAUCGUACCCCAAACCGACACAGGUGGUCAGGUAGAGAAUACCAAGGCGCUUGAGAGAACUCGGGUGAAGGAACUAGGCAAAAUGGUGCCGUAACUUCGGGAGAAGGCACGCUGAUAUGUAGGUGAAGUCCCUCGCGGAUGGAGCUGAAAUCAGUCGAAGAUACCAGCUGGCUGCAACUGUUUAUUAAAAACACAGCACUGUGCAAACACGAAAGUGGACGUAUACGGUGUGACGCCUGCCCGGUGCCGGAAGGUUAAUUGAUGGGGUCAGCGCAAGCGAAGCUCUUGAUCGAAGCCCCGGUAAACGGCGGCCGUAACUAUAACGGUCCUAAGGUAGCGAAAUUCCUUGUCGGGUAAGUUCCGACCUGCACGAAUGGCGUAAUGAUGGCCAGGCUGUCUCCACCCGAGACUCAGUGAAAUUGAACUCGCUGUGAAGAUGCAGUGUACCCGCGGCAAGACGGAAAGACCCCGUGAACCUUUACUAUAGCUUGACACUGAACAUUGAGCCUUGAUGUGUAGGAUAGGUGGGAGGCUUUGAAGUGUGGACGCCAGUCUGCAUGGAGCCGACCUUGAAAUACCACCCUUUAAUGUUUGAUGUUCUAACGUUGACCCGUAAUCCGGGUUGCGGACAGUGUCUGGUGGGUAGUUUGACUGGGGCGGUCUCCUCCUAAAGAGUAACGGAGGAGCACGAAGGUUGGCUAAUCCUGGUCGGACAUCAGGAGGUUAGUGCAAUGGCAUAAGCCAGCUUGACUGCGAGCGUGACGGCGCGAGCAGGUGCGAAAGCAGGUCAUAGUGAUCCGGUGGUUCUGAAUGGAAGGGCCAUCGCUCAACGGAUAAAAGGUACUCCGGGGAUAACAGGCUGAUACCGCCCAAGAGUUCAUAUCGACGGCGGUGUUUGGCACCUCGAUGUCGGCUCAUCACAUCCUGGGGCUGAAGUAGGUCCCAAGGGUAUGGCUGUUCGCCAUUUAAAGUGGUACGCGAGCUGGGUUUAGAACGUCGUGAGACAGUUCGGUCCCUAUCUGCCGUGGGCGCUGGAGAACUGAGGGGGGCUGCUCCUAGUACGAGAGGACCGGAGUGGACGCAUCACUGGUGUUCGGGUUGUCAUGCCAAUGGCACUGCCCGGUAGCUAAAUGCGGAAGAGAUAAGUGCUGAAAGCAUCUAAGCACGAAACUUGCCCCGAGAUGAGUUCUCCCUGACUCCUUGAGAGUCCUGAAGGAACGUUGAAGACGACGACGUUGAUAGGCCGGGUGUGUAAGCGCAGCGAUGCGUUGAGCUAACCGGUACUAAUGAACCGUGAGGCUUAACCUU
This 2903-nucleotide ribosomal RNA is filed under the name Escherichia coli DEC7D. RNAcentral's name for it is "bacterial LSU rRNA". It matches the Rfam family "Bacterial large subunit ribosomal RNA". Lineage: Bacteria; Pseudomonadati; Pseudomonadota; Gammaproteobacteria; Enterobacterales; Enterobacteriaceae. The record is from RNAcentral.